CUACUACUCCCUCCGUUCGGAAUCAUUUGCCACAAAAAUGGAUAAAAAUAGAUGUAUCUACAACUAAAAUACAUCUAGAUACCUUCAAUUUUUGGACGAGUAAUUCCGGACGGAGGGAGUACCUC
Non-coding RNA from Triticum aestivum (bread wheat), 125 nucleotides. The record is from Rfam. Lineage: Eukaryota; Viridiplantae; Streptophyta; Magnoliopsida; Poales; Poaceae.